CCUUUCUUGAUUCGGUGGGUGGUGGUGCAUGGCGUUCUUAGUUGGUGGAGCGAUUUGUCUGGUUAAUUCCGAUAACGAACGAGACUCUAGCCUGCUAACUAGGCGAUUUCCGGUACCCACAAUAGUGUUACCGGCGAUUCAAUUUCUUCUUAGAGGGACAGGCGGCUCCUAGCCGACGAGACUGAGCAAUAACAGGUCUGUGAUGCCCUUAGAUGUCCUGGGCCGCACGCGCGCUACACUGAAGGAAUCAGCGUGUCAU
RNAcentral lists this ribosomal RNA (259 nucleotides) under Cosmoscarta pulchella. RNAcentral's name for it is "partial small subunit ribosomal RNA". It matches the Rfam family "Eukaryotic small subunit ribosomal RNA", at positions 1256 to 1523 of the family's 1831-position model. The record is from RNAcentral. Lineage: Eukaryota; Metazoa; Arthropoda; Insecta; Hemiptera; Cercopidae.